This 497-nucleotide ribosomal RNA is filed under the name uncultured bacterium. RNAcentral describes it as "partial 16S ribosomal RNA". It matches the Rfam family "Bacterial small subunit ribosomal RNA", at positions 28 to 507 of the family's 1533-position model. The record is from RNAcentral.
GAUGAACGCUGGCGGCGUGCCUAAUACAUGCGAGUCGAGCGAACAGACGAGGAGCUUGCUCCUCUGACGUUAGCGGCGGACGGGUGAGUAACACGUGGAUAACCUACCUAUAAGACUGGGAUAACUUCGGGAAACCGGAGCUAAUACCGGAUAAUAUAUUGAACCGCAUGGUUCAAUAGUGAAAGACGGUUUUGCUGUCACUUAUAGAUGGAUCCGCGCCGCAUUAGCUAGGUGGUAAGGUAACGGCUUACCAAGGCAACGAUGCGUAGCCGACCUGAGAGGGUGAUCGGCCACACUGGAACUGAGACACGGUCCAGACUCCUACGGGAGGCAGCAGUAGGGAAUCUUCCGCAAUGGGCGAAAGCCUGACGGAGCAACGCCGCGUGAGUGAUGAAGGUCUUCGGAUCGUAAAACUCUGUUAUUAGGGAAGAACAAAUGUGUAAGUAACUAUGCACGUCUUGACGGUACCUAAUCAGAAAGCCACGGCUAACUACGUG